AACGGAGAGUUUGAUCCUGGCUCAGGAUGAAUGCUGGCGGCGUGCCUAACACAUGCAAGUCGAACGGAAACAUGCUUUGCACUGUUUUCUCAAUAUCGAACCUGGAAUGGGAUUCUUCCUCUAGGUGUCGAAGGUUGAUUGAGGAAAGAGUGCAAAGUGAUGUCGAGUGGCGGACGGCUGAGUAACGCGUGGGAAUCUGCCCUAAAGUGAGGAAUAACUGCCCGAAAGGGUGGCUAAUACCGCAUAUGGUCUUCGGAUUAAAGGAUUUAUCCGCUUUGGGAGGAGCCCGCGUUAGAUUAGGUAGUUGGUAGGGUAAUGGCCUACCAAGCCUACGAUCUAUAGCUGGUCUGAGAGGAUGAUCAGCCAGACUGGGACUGAGACACGGCCCAGACUCCUACGGGAGGCAGCAGUGAGGAAUCUUCCACAAUGGGCGAAAGCCUGAUGGAGCAACGCCGCGUGAAGGAUGAAGGUCUUCGGAUUGUAAACUUCUUUUAUGAGUGAAGAAUAUGACGGUAACUCAUGAAUAAGCACCGGCUAACUACGUGCCAGCAGCCGCGGUCAUACGUAGGGUGCAAGC
Molecule: ribosomal RNA, 577 nt
Filed under: Candidatus Saccharibacteria bacterium 32-50-10
Lineage: Bacteria; Candidatus Saccharimonadota
Description: bacterial SSU rRNA
Rfam family: Bacterial small subunit ribosomal RNA
Source: RNAcentral